Thalassophryne amazonica is the source of this 116-nucleotide long non-coding RNA. RefSeq lists it as uncharacterized. Lineage: Eukaryota; Metazoa; Chordata; Actinopteri; Batrachoidiformes; Batrachoididae. The transcript is spliced from 3 exons. The record is from RefSeq and is a predicted model, not a curated record.
AGGAAUUAUGUGUAGUUAUGGAAUUAUGCUUCCUCUCCUUUGAAAUCAUAUUAUUAGCAAUGGAACAGGUCUCAGCCUCACAACAUCUAAAUUCUGGGUGUGUUAGUGAAGCACAG